GGGCAGCUUCGUUCGCUCCCCGAUUUUUUCGUCCUGGCCUCGUCGGUUCUGGCCUGAUGUUGUAGUAGGUCUGGCCAACGUGGAAAGGCUGGCUAGUUAACCACGCCGAUUCAGUCAAGCUCCAGCAUCCGUUCACUGAGGCGGCUCGAUGGUGCAACGCUCACCGAAAAAUCCCAUAGACGAGCAACGCGUUCGGUCGGUUGUUUGUGUGUGUCAGUGGGUGAACAGUGCGUAUGAGCGAUUUUCGGUGGCACUGAAGAUGGCCCAAAACGAACCGGUGGACCUUAAAGUUGUUGGGUAAACAACGGAAAGUCGGUUAAGCGUGGCGAGUAACGGGUUGCGGAUUGAAUAAACAAGGCCAAGAGCGAAUGGAAUGUGCACAAACUGCAGAAAAAACCAAGAAAAUUUAACACAAAUAUUCAACAAAAAAACACGUCAAAAAUAAGCAUCAACAUCAACCGGAAAUCAACUAAAUUGUCGUCACUCCAAUCAAGUGGAAAUUUGAUUAAAAAAAGGAGAGAAGGAGGCCAAAGGAAAAUAACUGAAGGGAGAGCAGAGGAAAA
Molecule: long non-coding RNA, 563 nt
Organism: Drosophila erecta
Lineage: Eukaryota; Metazoa; Arthropoda; Insecta; Diptera; Drosophilidae
Exons: 2
Source: RefSeq, a predicted model, not a curated record